Molecule: long non-coding RNA, 17269 nt
Filed under: Lathyrus oleraceus (garden pea)
Lineage: Eukaryota; Viridiplantae; Streptophyta; Magnoliopsida; Fabales; Fabaceae
Description: Pisum sativum (pea) long non-coding RNA (PSAT_LNC030802)
Source: RNAcentral
AAAGAUUGCAUCUAAACCAAAACCAAGUAAAGUACCAACAAGGACUAUCAGUAAUCAUGGAUAUUUACUCUGAAAAUGUGAUACAUACAAAGUUCAUUAACAACAACCACAAUGUGACUCUUUGCACCCUCGAACCGACGUCGUCGGCAGCCGUGACGAUCUUGCUACUCAAUGGAUGAUGGAUUCAACACCAUAACAAACAGAACCACCUGCAGCAACAACAUCUACAAAUAGAAUCAGAUGAAUUUUAAAAAUGUUGGAUCAACGUUUGCAGAGAAAAUGUCAGUUAGUGGUUUUGAGUGAGAGUAGCUGGAGUGGGUGACGGAGAAGGCGGCGGUGUGGUUAUUAGGUUUCGUGGUGGAUUUUCACGGCGAUUUGGGGUUGAUGAAGGUUGCUACUGUUGAGGGGGUUACAGUGAAGGCGAUUUGAAUGUGGUGAGGGAUUUUUGUACGAGGUUUCAUGGUGUGCGAUGGUGAGUGGGUCGUGGGAUUUAGUGGUUGACGGUGGUGAGUGGUACGAGGGGUCUGGAUUUGCGGAGGAAGAUCGUUGAAGAGGGUUUCGCCGGUGAAUGCGUCGUGAAGGUUAGGGUGGAUCGGUGGUAGAUUUGGGUUAGUCGAUGGGGGUUUGAUGGUGUUGGUGUUGGUGAGAGUGUAGCGGUGGAGAGAGAUGAUGAGGUUUGGAUGAGAGGAUGAAGAAGAUGAACAUAUGGUGUUGGUGUUGGUGAGAGUGUAGCGGUGGAGAGAGAUGAUGAGGUUUGGAUGAGAGGAUGAAGAAGAUGAACAGUCGGCCAAGAGGAAGAGUUUGCUUUUUUAUUCUAUUUUAUAUUUUUUUUAUGGUGAGAGAGGGUGAGGCUAUGAGUGAACGUGAGUGAGUCAGAGAGGAUUUCCUUUUUUUUUUAUUUUGCUCGCCAGAGAGAUAUAAAGUAGUGAGUGUAGGUUGUUGUGAGUGGGAUUUGUGAGGUGUUGUAAUAAUAGGUGAGGUGAGCUGUUGAUUGAGUGAGAGAGAAGAGAGAAUGUGACGUGUGGAGAGAGAAAAUAGAAGGAUAAGGAUGAUCAAAAAACUGUUAGAUUUGUGAAGGAUUUAUUCUGAUUUUGUGGGAUUUUCAAUGGAAUGAAGAUGUUGUGCCAACUGUAAAGGGAAUUUCCAUCAUAUAUUAUUCUUACUGAAUGUAACGUUCUUUAAUGGUGUAACCUUAUUUUUGGUUUGCAUUUACUAAUGCAAUUUUUUUUAGUUUCUCUAAUAGUUAUAUAAUAUAAGAGAGUUAUUUAAAUGAGAACAAUGUAUUUAUAUGAAAUUAAAUUAAAUGAGCAUGAGAAAUAGUUACUAAAAAAACAUGAGAUGAUAUAAUUAAAUAAGAAUAAAAAUGCUACUAAAAUUCAAAUGAGAUAAUUUGAAAAAUUAAAAUGGAAUGGUUAUUUUGGAUAAAGGAUGAAAAUAAAUGGGUUAAUAAUGGAUUAAAAAACAAAAUAAAAGAUCGGGUGAAAAUUUACUCAAAAAAUUAAAUUGGAUGUGUUAAAAUGAUCAGCACAAAAUGUACUUAUUGAAAAAAUACAGCGUUUCUUCAAAUUUUAAUGAUUCAAUCGAUUUGUCUGUAUUCUCAAAUAAAUUCAUUCUGACUGACAUUUUAGGUAUUAUUCAUGAUGGAAUGUAUGUCAUGCUAUGCAUAUGAUGCAAAAUAAAAAUAAAAAUCAAUUUUAUGAAAAUUUAAAUAUGCCCAGACAAAAUUGGGGUAUGACAGCUGCCCCUAUUUAAUUAUCUUGAACUAGAAAGUAAGAAUGACGACAGUCUUCAUACAUUCGUGGUGGAAGGUAAUUAAAUACGAAAAGACCCAAAUUUUGUCCUUUGAAAUUCAAUGAGAUAUGCAGAAAGAAAAUGCCAGGGAUUCUAUAUGCACCAAGGUGAUAGGGGUAGAAUGCCAAACCAAUGCCAACCCUCGAGUCGAUACUUAAAUCUUGCAAAGGUCGUUAUUGGUGUAAAGACAAAUGUGGGGUUGGUUUUCUGACACCAAAAGGAUGACAGUGGAGUUAGUUGCUAUCACCAAAAGGGUGAUAGUGAUUCGCCAUGAUUUCCAGGAUCGUCAUCACCAAAAGGAUGAUGGAUAAGCUGAGCUUCAAAGAUAGUCAUCACCAAAAGGAUGAUAGUCAUAGCAGCUACAACAAAGAUCGUCAUCACCAAAAGGAUGAUGGUAAGAUCAACAAUAAAUCUCGCUAUCACCAAAAGGAUGAAAGUUAGACACAAUCCAAAGAUUUCCAUCACCAAAAGGAUGACGUCCGUCACCAAAAGGGAUGAUAUCCGUCACCAAAAGGAUGAUGGUUAUUCUGAUAAAGUUUCCCAUUACAGAGAGUAUAAUAUCGAGGCUAUCGCCAAAAGGAUGAUAGUUGACUCAUCAACUUCAAAGAUCACCGUCACCAAAAGGAUGAAGGUAAGAUCCAACAACAGAACUUGUUAUCACCAAAAGGAUGAUAAUAAGUCAAAUAACUUCAAUGAUCACCGUCACCAAAAGGAUGAAGGUAUAGUCACACAACAAACUUGUUAUCACCAAAAGGAUGAUAAUAAGUCGACAAUCACCAUCACCAAAAGGAUGAAGGUAUUAUCAAACACCAAAACUUGUUACCACCAAAAGGAUGAUAAUAAGAACACAACUCAAACGAUCAUCAUCACCAAAAGGAUGAAGGUAAGAUCGAACAACGAAACUUGUUACCACCAAAAGGAUGAUAAUAAGUCAACAACUCAAAUGAUCACCAUCACCAAAAGGAUGAAGGUAAGAUCAAGACAAACUUGUUAUCACCAAAAGGAUGAUAAUAAGUCAACAAUCACCAUCACCGAAAGGAUGAAGAUAUAAUUAAAAGACAAAACUUGUUACCACCAAAAGGAUGAUAAUAAGUCAAAAUAGACUCAAAUGAUCACCACCACCAAAAGGAUGAAGGUAAGAUCAACAACAGAACUUGUUACCACCAAAAGGAUGAUAAUAAGUCAAUAACCUUAAAUAUCACUCUGACACACCAGGAUGACCGUAAAGAUCAAACAAACAGAACUUGUUUAUCACCAAAGGAUGCUAAUGAAGGGACAAAACUUCAAAACUUGUUAUCACCAAAAGGAUGAUAAUAAGCUGAAACAAACUCAAUGAUCGCCAUCACCAAAAGGAUGAAGGCAAGAUCAAAACAAAACCCGUUAUCACCAAAAGGACGAUAAUGAGCCCAUAACUCAAAUGGUCACCGUCACCAAAAGGAUGAAGGCAAGAUUAAACAACAAAACUUGUUACCACCAAAAGGAUGAUAAUAAGUCGACAAUCACCACCACCAAAAGGAUGAAGGUAUUAUCAAACAACAAAACUCGUUACCACCAAAAGGAUGAUAAUAAGUCGACAACUCAAAUGAUCCCCAUCAUCAAAAGGAUGAAGGUAAGAUCACAAACAAAACUUGUUACCACCAAAAGGAUGAUAAUAAGUCAACAGUCACCAUCACCAAAAGGAUGAAGGUACUACAAACAACAGAACUCGUUAUCACCAAAAGGAUGAUAAUACAUCAACAAUCACCAUCACCAAAAGGAUGAAGGUGGAAUCAUAACUUCGAAACUUGUUACCACCAAAAGGAUGAUAAUAAGUUAUAAUGACUUCAAAUAUUGCUGACACCAAAAGGAUGACAGUGGGAUUGGUCUUUCCAAAUGUCACCAUCACCAAAAGGAUGAUAGCUUAAACCAAACUCCAUAAUCUCUAUCACCAAAAGGAUGAUUUUAGAUUGAAUUGGACGUCAUCACCAAAAGGAUGAUGAUUGAACCAAAAUGACAAGGAUCCUUAUCACUACAAGGAUCGCCGACACCAAAAGGAUGACGGUAGGCUGUAAUUAUUGCAGAGGUCACCAUUCACCAAAAGAUGAAGGUUAGCUUAAAAACUUCAAGGAUCUUCGACACCAAGAGGAUGACGGUAAGAUCACAAAUGUCAAGGAUUUACCACUACCAAAAGGAUAACGGUUAUCAUAAACAGGACGAUGAUCAAUAUUAUUCUUCAAUGGACUUUCACCAAAAGGAUGAUAGUGAGAAAAAUAUUGGAAAAAUAAGGCUACUGUCAAAGUUCAGUAAGCCUGAUUUGCUGGGUAGUAUUGGAACAUUGAUGGGUAAGACUUGCUCAGGGUAUCGACAACAAAAGGUUGCAGAACAAAUACUCUAUGGGGAGGUGUAGUUUCUGUCAACAAAAGGUUACAGGAAACAACUCAUUGAGGGAUGCUCAACGUGAAGCAAGGUAAGUGUUUAAAGAAGCAAUGUUAGACCUAGCUGAGGAUAAAAUCUUAUCAACAGACGGUUGAAAGAUGUAACUCAAUGGGGAAUGCCCGAUAGUAGGGUAGGAACUCACUCAGAGAAAGUGACAAUGACUCAACUGAGGGUUGGCCUGGAUGCCUACGACUAAACCUUGGAUUUUGACUCGUGUUAUAUGCGUAAAUGAUAUGCAUGCAAAGAUGUAUGAAAUGAUGCAUGUGAUGCAUGUGAUGCAUGUUUGAAUGAAAAUGAUGAUUGGCUUGUUUGGGAUUGGCCCCCCUUUCAAAGGCGAUGUAUUUUUUGAAACCAAUGUUGGUUGUAUUUGUUUUUGUGUGGAUGCCAGCAAGGUAGGCUUUGGAUUUUUUUUAAUUAUCGUUGUGGAUUGGUUAUUGGUUGGUGGAAGGAUCUGACUUCCCGACACUCGGUAGUUGAUGAUGUUAUUAACACGCAAUAGAUGAGGAUACUCUUGGUGCCCCAAGUUUGACUUCUUGCUGAUAUGUUGUGUAUUUGUCUUUGAGAAGAUCUCAAUUUCUUCUGAAGUGUUUGGCCAACCUGUAACUGAGCAUAGCGACGUGAUCAACACAUGAUGAUUGUGCUUUUGACGUGCCCUAAGGAUUCUUGUCAAGAUGUGAUAUUGUACCGGUAUGAGCUUUUUCCAUUUUGCUUAUGAAUUCAAGCAAUCAAUAAUGUCUGAUGCAAUCUGCUUGACUGGCUUGAAGACACGGAGGGAGUUUUGCCCCUUGCAACUUGUCUUGCCCCAGACUGUAGGGUGCUCACAGGAAUUCUCCUUGAAAGGAAGCCUUUAGGAGUGGUUAUCCGAUGACGUGGUCUGAGUCUGCUUUUCUCAACUCCUGAAUCUGGCAAUGGUCUGCCCCUGAUUAGCCUUUGGGGAACUUGCCUUAGACGUACUGAGUGUUGAAGUGUUUUUCCUCCAUGAUUGACUGAUGCUUGGAGAUUUGUCUUAUAUUGACUGCUUCUUAGGUCAAUAUAAUCAAAAGAUGCCAUGCCCCUGAUCCAUAGGAGUAUGAGAUGAUUUUGAUUCGUGUUAGUGCCAACGAUCAAGUGCCUCUGGAAUUUCCCCUUGUUGGAAUUUACUUGAUGUCAAGUACUGACUGACAAUUAAGAAUUGUCAUUCAAGAAAUGGCGAUUUUAAUGCAAUAGUUAUGCAAGUUUUGAAAAACAAUCAUUCACUUGGGAGUGUCGUGGUAGUGUGUGGCGAGUGAAUCAUGAGUCCAAACGCGGUGCUAAUUUAGCUAGCGUGUGAGUGAUAUAGCGAGUAGGGAAUAUUAGCAAACCUCUAGGAGUCAGUUUACUCAACCUUGUUGUAGUAUGCUUUUCAGAAUAAACCCUACUUCAAUUAGGUCUUUUGAAGGUUGUAACGUGGCUUGGUUCAUGGUUAUUUGAAACAAAAGGAUAUAAGGCUCAAAGUUUAUUUUAACCUGUCGCAUUACGCGAAAAACCGGCGGGAAAACAAGAACAACAGAGCCGCCACCGUGCGUUAUUUAUCCCAAAAGAGGGAAAGGAAACGCUCAGAGUAAACCUGGAAAAAGCAUGGUCUCGCGACCAAAGAGAAUGGGAUCGGGAGUCGGUUAUGCGAAGGGAAGGUAUUAGCACCCCUACGCAUCCGUCGUACUCGACGGGAUCCACGCACAAAAGAAAGGAAAAUGGUUGCUAAACACUGCUCAAACACACACACACUGGCUGAAAGAGACAAAAGAAACUGACUGAAACUGACUCGGCAGGAUAUCGCAUCCUGGGCCUACUUAGUCUAUCAGGCAUAGACAUCAGAGUCGAAGUAGUUCGGACUGGGGAAACGACACAUGCUCGCUAGGAUAUCGCAUCCUAUGCAUACGUAUCUUCUCGGACGAGAGAAGAAUCAGAGCAUUCGUAGCUCGGCUGACACGCACACAAACAAACACAGGCAAAGGCAAACGUGGAGCCUGAAUGCCAAUCACUGGACUUACAUCAGCAUCCGAACCAAAACACACACACAGAGGCAAACGUGGAGCCUGAAUGCCAAUCACUGGACUUACAUCAGCAUCCGAACCAAACACACGCACACUGGAACCCAAAUGCCACUCGAUGGACUUACAUCAGCUUCCAAGCACACAACAAGACAAAACAAAAAACGGGCGCCCGGAGAGAUCAGCUCAUCUCCUGCCUACGUACCUCAUCUGGUAUGAGGAUCAGGGCGACGUAGUUCCCCUACGGAGGGAUACAGGACUAGCCUAACCAGAUAACAGAGGGAGACACAACUAGGGAGACUACGACUCGAGCCUAGAUGUUAUCAUGCAAAAUCAUCCCUAAGUUAAGGUUUCUAGCUAACUUGCACAGGAAGCAAGCCUAUCCUAAACAUGACUUGCACAGGAAGCAAGCCAAACCAAACCUAACUUGCACAGGAAGCAAGCUAAACUAAACCUAACUUGCACAGGAAGCAAGCUAAAGCAAACACACAAGCACAAGUAGCACACACUAUAUGCAAGCAAUGGGCUCAAACAAGGUUAGGUUUUAGUCGAGGGGUCAUAUCAACCUCAACAAACAAACCACUGGAAUCGGGUUAAAAGUGCUCUUAACCUUGCCAUUGAGGGGCUAAGGUGAAGCAGAUGAAAGGAGAUGAGGGGUGUGCCUCAUCGCUCUUAUCCCUGGUCAGGGAGAGCAUUUGAAUAUCAGAAGGUGUGGGAGUUCAGAAAGUAGGAACUCUAUCCACAAGUUAGACUCUAUAGAUCUUGGGUUCUUACUCACUAUGCAUCAACACAGGUAGUGUGAGCAAGAUGAGUGACACACAGACUAGCAGGGGAUAGGUUGCAUAUCCCUUGGGUUCUGCCAAUUGCCUCUUCACUUAGGAGGUUUUUGAAUAUGUACAAGGACAAUUUUAAACAGUCAAAAACAUUGCCUCUUAAGGAGGACUUCAGACAGUUGCCUGGCCAAGUAACAGGCCAGGUCUUCCAGACUACAUGAAGAUAGAAAGGUAUACCUCAAUACAAAUUGCUUAUCAAGCAAAGCAAAGCAAAAGUUCACAAGGAACUGAGCAACUAAAAGCCCCUGAAACCAGUCAGACAACAUUAGUACACAACUUCAAAAUUAAAGCAAAAGGAAACAGAUAUCAACCAGUCAACACAAACAAGCUAAGUGUGCAAUGCACAAGGCUCAAGGCAUGUGAGCCAAGCAACCUACAAAACAAAUGGGUUAGUCAUGAUAAACAAGCAAACACAACCAAUUUGUAUUGGUCUCAUUGGAUAAUUGUUGGUCAACCUGAAAACAUGAACUCAAAUGUGAGUAACAGGACCACUAGGACAAGCCUAGGGUCAAAAGAGAAUGAGAAAGGCAAAACAGCAAGUGGCAAGUAUCCAAAAUCAAGUUCAAACAAUCAAGAGACAAACCCAAUUGGUUUCACAUUCAUAUCAAUCAUCAUCAUCAUUUCAUGAACAAAUUAGGUCAAGACAUGGCAUUUAGAAGCUCAUGGAAGUCAACAGCAAGACUUGAAUCAAAAGCAAUCUCAAACAUUUCCAAAAAUCAUCAAAUAAAUCAUGAUCAAACACAACCCAUAGCAUGGUAAGCAUGUCAAAUUUCAACUCAAUUGGACAAGUAGAAGGUGGUCAAUGAAAAUCAGAAAGGCAAGGCAAUUUUAAGCAUGCUCAAAGAAGUCAACCAAACAUGCAUCAACUUCCAAAAAUCAUAAAUCAGUGAUAGCAUAUGAGAAAUGAAUGGGAUCAAAACCAUGGCAAAUCUUAAGGUGUCUAGUAAUCACAUAUCAAAUUUCAUGUCCAUCUAAUAAGGUAUGAGAAUUUCACAAAUGAAAUGGGAACAUGUGUCACAAAAAGUCAACAUAAGACCAAACAGGGGAGAAAAAUCUCAAACAAUUAGGAAAUGCCACAAAUAAUUCUAAGAAAAAUCACAUGUGAACUAGACAUACUCAAGUACAUUCAUGCAAAAAUUCAAAUCAAUUUGAGGUCAAGAGGCAUGGUAUUGAAAAUCAUCAAGUUGCACAUCAAUGGUGUGACACAAAUUGUCACACCCUACUUCAAAAAAAUCAUAACUCAAUGACUAGAGAUGAUAAAUUCAUAAACUCUAUACCGAAAUCACCAUGGAUGUGUCUAGUUUAUGCACAAAAAAUUUGGGAGCCAUUGGUCAAAGUGUCAUCAUUUCACAAAUGUUUUGGUAAAAGGUACAAAAUAUUGUUACAUGUCACAAACCCUAAUACCAAUUAAAAUCCACUCAUUCAAAAAAUCAGGAAAAGAUAUGACAAAUAAGUAGAGGUCCAUAUGAACACAAUGCAAAAAUUCCCAUGAAUUUUGGAUUUAAAAUGAAGGACUUAUGAAUUUUGCAAAUUGGUGAAUCAAAAAUGAAAUAACAUUGAAAAUAACAUGAGUUUAAUAAGACACAUGACACGGCAGUGGCAAACUUGUAAUAACCUAUGCCACUAAUCAAAACGCUGCGCUUUGGGCAAUGGAAAGGAAAUAACGUGAUUGGCUGAUGGAUGAAACAGUAACAUGCACACGUGAAUAGGACAAAAAUUCUGGGAUUUAUCUAGGGUUUUAACACAGAGUUCAUGCGUUCAUCUUCAUCAUUCAACUCAAAAAUUUUCUGUGCCCAGAAAAUGCAAUUAACCACAUCAAUCGAUUCAUCUGAACAUGAACAACACGAAUCCAAACACCAUUUACAUUAAAACAAGCCAAGCAUCAUGAAUCGAGCAAAAAACAAAAGUGAACAACAAUCUUUAAAUCAGCAUAACUCAAACAUCAUUCAACCAUUUUCAAAACUAUGACUAUCAAUGAAAUCAGCAUGCAAAGACCUUUCUAAAACAUGUUAAGAUUUAGCAAAUGGUGAGGUUCGAAAUCUUACUUGAUUUUGAAGAAAUUGGAGAAACAGUGUUGUUUUGGUGGUUUGGUGAUGAAACAGAUGUAGCUUCUAGUUCCAGAUGGUGAAUGCUUGAAGAUCCUAGCUCAGCAAGGCGUGAAAUGAUCCCAAACUUGAACUGCCAUUGAUGAUGUUCUUGGAGAAACAGUCGUGAAAAUGUUGUUACAGCUGGAGAUUCAGGCUUGAAAUGUGCUCAAAAUGGAGAGGAAUGAUGAAGCAAACAAAGGCCAGGUCGAGGUCCUUGCAAUUUUUGGUCGAAAAUCCAAAUGAAGGAAAAUGUGAAAAUGAGAGAAACUGAGUUUUUUUCUGUGUGAUAAUGUGGCUGCUAGGGUUUCAAAUGAGCAGAAAAUGAGCUAUUAUACUUCUGUUUAUGAUUGGUUAAGUGUAUGUUAAUCACAAUUUGGUUUAAUGGUAAGUUUUGCUAAUUGACCAAUUUGCUCAAACGGUGAGGUGUAAGAGGCUGCAGCUCGAAAAUGGGCUUGUAACACAACCAAAAUAUCAUUUCUGAACUUAUUUGAAUGGCCAAAGUGGUUAAAAAUGUUUAAUUCAAAAGUUCACUUUUGCACCACACUUGAAAUAAUUCAAAGCCAUUCCAAAAAUGCCAUUUUGAUCUAUGAUGUUUUGAUGAAUGAUGGUUACAUAUUUGGAAAGAGGAGGUCAAAUGUGACUUGUUGCAAAAAACCCCACCCAAUUUGACCAAAUGGUUUGAGAGAUAUGGCCUUUUGAAGUUCAAAAAAGUUUGAAAAUGAAUUGAUCAUAACUUGCCAACCAUACAUGGGAAUUGAGUGUUCUUGGACUUUUUAGAAAUGGGAGAACAAGAUCUUCAACUUUCAUGUUGGGCAAAAAUUCAUUUGAAGCUUGUAUUAUGAUGUAAGUUUGGGAUCAAGAAGUUUCCAUUUUUGGCAAGUUUCAAUUACAGGUCCAGUUUCUAUUUUUGGAAAUUUCUUGUCUAGCUUCAAAUUCUUCCAUGAUGAUGUUUGACAUGAUAUAUAAGGCCUAUUUGAACAUGAAUGAGCCCUCUCAAACCAAAUCCCACCAUCAAAACCAUAAAAUCAGGCCCAGUUGACCAAGGUUGACUUUUUAGGGUUUCUAGCAAACUGUGCAUUGACUGAUGACUUCUGAACAUCCAAUCCUUGACCAAAACACUUCAAGAGGACCCCUAGGUCAUAUGAACAUGUUGGACCAACCCUAGGGCCUUGGCUCAAUGAAAAUUGUCCUUGAUUGCUUGAUUGACUGAUCUCCUGAUCAGUUUGACCUAAUCUGACUGAUGAUCUUGCACUUGAGGCAAAGGGACAAUGCAAUGUUAUGCAGUGGACUAUGUUAUGUUAUGACCUAAUGUGAGAAUGUAUGUACAAUGAUAGGUGCAAAUUUGAGGUGCUACAUAACCCACCCUUUCUUCAUGAUGAUCUCCAAUCCUAUGUUCAGUUAAUUCACACACAUUCGUAUUUUGCAGGUGUGAGGAUAAAGAUGGUGAUUCAAGGUCUCUUGGAAUGGCAGCCACCUUAUUUCGUUUUUUGGAUGUUGGUGACCCUUUGAUUUUGGUAUGGUGGUCACUGAUUCUUGUUUUGUUUUGUUGAGGACUUUCAUUGUCUCUCUUGAUUUUUGUUUUGAUCCCUAACUUUUGCAUGGACCGCUUGUUGAAGCUCUAACCCAUCGGGAUUGUCCCAGUUUUUGCCUAAGUCUCUUUUUAGGGUGUUUGACUUAGCGGGCUCUUUCUUUGACUUUUUUUUUUGAAAUUGUGACUGCCAAGUCAUUGGUCAUUGAAGAACAACAGACCUGGAAUUUGGAUUUGUAUGAUUUCUUCGACACUUCAGGAUAUGUGUGAGGAAUAUCAUGUGGUUGAUCCUUGUAUGGGAUAUUUCAUCUUUAUAAUUUGUAUGUGUAGUCAGAUCAACUGAACACUACCCUGCCCCAGGUUAAGCGUAAGGGUUUUAUAGUUUCGAAAGAAACUCCUACUUCUAGGCUCGAAGUGGUUGACUAGGGAUUAACUCCUUAUAUCUCCAGUGUUUAGAGAUUUGAAACAAUGCCUGUACAUCAUCAGCAAGAUUUUAUCCGAAAGCAUUCAAUCAGCAAUUAUGAGUAUUUUGUUUUCGUCAUCCUCCUUCCAACAUUUACUAACAAUAGUGUGAUGAAGAAAGUGAGGUGAAAAAGUAUGUGUUUGUGAUUUGUAAAUGUGAUAGAGGAGUGAAUAUGAAAGAUUGAUUCAAAAGCAUUUUUUCGUCAUCCUCCUUCCAACAUUUACUAACAAUAGUGUGAUGAAGAAAGUGAGGUGAAAAAGUAUGUGUUUGUGAUUUGUAAAUGUGAUAGAGGAGUGAAUAUGAAAGAUUGAUUCAAAAGCAUGCAUAAUCAUCCAAUUAAUAAGACCAAAUACAAAUAGCAAUGUUUAAAGCAUACAAUACUUAAACAAUCAAGAACAAAUUACAAAAGUGCGAAAUGGUAAGAAUGGCAUAAUGAUCGCCUUCAUUCAAAUGAACAGGCCUUUAUCUCUUGAUUCUUCGUUGGGAUUCGUUCUUCUUGUUCGGGCCGGUGGGAAGCUUUAUCUUUGAGCUUCACUCGACUCUGCAUGUGCUGGCAUGGGAUUUGUUACAACGUUUGGCCUGACUGGCGUGAAUGUAACUGCCUUGCUGUCAAUCAAGUCUUGAACCUUGUGCUUGAAGGCCUUAUAGUUCUCUAUUGUGUGCCCUGGAGCACCCAUGUGAUACUCACAGUGAGCACUGGCAUCGUAGCCUGGUGGGUAAGGUGGAGUUGUAGGUGUUAUCUCCUUCAGAACAACCGAUCCAUCCUUUAACAGGUAGGGGAGGAUCUUGCUAUACGAUACUGGCAAAGGAUCGAAAUGUCUUUCUGGCCUCCUUGCCCUCUGCUGGUUAGGUGGACGUGGUUGAGCGCGUUCUGUUGAUUCUGAUGUUGUUGUUGGUAAGCCGGCUAUUGAUAAGGCUGUUGAUAUUGUUGCUGAUAUGGUUGUUGAUAUGGUGUCGGGAUGACCGCGACAGUCUAAUGAUAAGGCGUAUGAGCAUAUGGAGGUGCCCUAUAUCCUCCUCCUCCCAUUAUGGCAUUGAUCUGCCCUUCUGGCUUCUUUGGGAGAUUAGGAUAAGGCUUCUUCAUCCCACUUGAAGCAUUAGCAGCAUAAGGUAGCCUUCCCUUCUUGAUCUGGCUUUCAAUUCGUUCUCCCACGGAGACAACCUCCGCAAAAGUUGGGAAGUUGGAUCCUACCAUCUUCUCCAUGUAUUGGGUAUGCAGCGUUCCCAUAAACAUGUCGAUUAAUUCUUUAUCAAGAAGAGGAGGUUGGACAUGAGCUGCUAGCUCUCUCCACCGAUGGGCAUAUUCCUUGAAUGACUCAUUGUUCCGCUGAGUCAUGUCUUGCAGCUGGGUGCGGUUGGGUGCUAGAUCAGUGUUGUAUUGAUAAUGCCUUAGGAAUGCUUCAGCAAGGUCUCUCCAUGACUGGACCUGUCCCCUCUCUAGUUGCAUGUACCACUCCAAGGAUGCCCCACUGAGGCUAUCUUGGAAGUAGUGGAUCAUGAGUUGAUCAUUACUGAUGUGGGCAGCCAUUUUGCGACAGUAGGCUCUGAGGUGAGUUCUCGAGCAGCUGAUCCCUUUGUAUUUGUCAAAGUCUGGGACUUUGAAUUUUUGUGGAAUCACGAGUCCUGGCACCAGGCACAUGUCAACAGCGUCCAAACCGGGAGUAGUGUGAACCUCCAAGGACUUGAAUUUUUCUUCCAACGCAUGGAGUCUCUCGACAGCUGGGUCUGGGAGACCUCCAACAGCAGGCUUGGCGGGUUGUGGCAUGAAAAAGGCGUCAUAUGGAUCCUCAUCACCCAUCAUUGAUCCAUGUCGAGCAGAUGUAGCAAAAUGCUCAUGGGGGUUCAAGUUGACCAUGGGGAUCGGAAUAGGGAACGGUCCUCCUAUAGGCUGAUUAGGGUUACCAUCAAGUUCAGUUACUCCAGGGAUGCUAAGUGAUGGCGAUCCAAACUGGGCAGCAACUUUCCUGGCUUCGGCGCUAGUCUCAGCAUCCUUCUCUUUCUGGGCCAAGAGUAACAUGGUUUCCAACAAGCGAUCCAUCUUUGCCUGCAUGGAGUCAAUGUCUGUCCUCAUCGAAACCUGAUUUGCCUCAAGCUGUUCAAGUGUCAUCUUGUAGUUGCGGCGUGUCUCGUACCUGUGUCGAGUAGUCAGCGUUACUGGACAAAGGGUAGAAUAUGGUGUAAGUUUUUUGGUUCCUGGACAAUGAUAUGCAAUGCGUGUUGAUGAUACAUGAAAUUUUGCCAUGUUUUUCGCAGAGGAAUAUAGAUACUCAAGAUCAUUCACGCGUCGGGUACAGCAGGAUAAAAGGAAAAAGCACAAGUUUCUCUGAUCACAAGAAAUUCCCCAAAGGUAGGUUCUAAAGUUAUGUUUUCAAGGAAGGAACUUAGACUCACGGAUCAAGUUCAAAACUUCCUCGCAAUGGUGGGCUAGCCACAUCGUGAUGGGAUCCCCAAAGGUAGGUUCUAAAGUUAUGUUUUCAAGGAAGGAACUUAGACUCACGGAUCAAGUUCAAAACUUCCUCGCAAUGGUGGGCUAGCCACAUCGUGAUGGGAGUUUUGAAAUGAUCUAAUCUAACUGGGAUUCUCGUAUUGUUCGAACAGGGUGUAGACCCUUCGGUUCAAUACUACAUAAUCACCAGUUAUGAAAACAAAACCUGGGUUUAAGGCGAGGUCCCUAGAGUCACGGAUCGUAUUUAGAACCUCCCCACAGUAAUGGGCUAGCCACAUUAUGAUGGAAACUCCAAACAGAUCUACUCUAGGUGGAGUCUUCGUAUUGUCCCAAUGAGGUGUACACCCCCCAGUUCAAUACUACACAACUCCGGGUUCUAAGUUUUUUCUCGAAGCUCGGGUAUGGAGCUUAUCUCACAUCAUACAUCGAGUCCCAUAUCAUAAUAUCAAAAUACAUUACAUACAACACAAGUAAUCAUAGUAAAAUACAGAGAGACAAACAUGGAAAGAAAGAAUAUCUUCCAACAAUCAUAGCAAAAUCAGACUAAGCUAGGCUAGACUCUCUCUUGCUUGGAGAUGUUAUCCCUAGCAGAGUCGCCACCGAACUUUAUUUAUUCCUAAUGAAGGAAUAGGAAAAUAUCGAGAAAACCUUUAGAAAUAAGAAUAAUGGAAUUGUUGAUAGGUAUGGAUGAAGGCCUCAGGAGGGGAAUGGGGAGGUUUUUUAUUAGUGUGCUCGCGAAGAUACAACAAUCUCCUGCCUACGUAUCCUUAUAGUGCAAUAAGGAAAUCAGAGCAUUCGUAGUUCGGGUUACUACGAAUAUUUGGUGUGUUUUGUUUUGAUGAACGACUGUGUAGGUCGGCGUUCUAACGGCUAAACACUGGCUUGUCUACUCUCGGUGGAGGCUCUAGCACUGGUUUGUUGUGCGCAUUAGAAAGGAUUGACUUUUGUUUUGAUGAACGACUGUGUAGGUCGGCGUUCUAACGGCUAAACACUGGCUUGUCUACUCUCGGUGGAGGCUCUAGCACUGGUUUGUUGUGCGCAUUAGAAAGGAUUGACAGUGUUCUUUUGAAGAGGUUUUGGUCAGGCGGGGGUGACAAGUUGAUUUGAUGUGUUUGGGUGUUUUGGUUUGAUUUCGAUCGCUCGGGGGCGAGAAGUUGGGUUUAAUGUGUUUGAGAUGUUUUGAAGAAUGACGAAAGAUUGAGCAAUGUGGUGUACACCAAUCGUCCAAUUCUUUCGAGGAAUAAUAAGGCGACCGCCUUCUAUUCCUUUUUCGUUCGAAUUAUUUUGAAAGUUUGUUUGUGGAUGUUGAAUAUGCACGGUAGUGAGGCGUACGCCUCCUACUUGCUUAUUCAAAGAAUAAUAAGGCGUGCGCCACCUAUUCCCUUAUCCAAGUUUAUUUAGCAUGUUUUAGUCGGAAGUCGAUAAUUUGUGCAAUAUGGCGUACGCCAAUUAUUCAAAUAAUCGAGAGAUGGCGAGGCGAACGCCUCCCAUCUUUUAUCAUCCGAGGUUUAAAUUGUAAAAGAUAUGUUUUGGAUUUGGAAUUUGUAAAAAUGAUUUGAAAUAUUAUGAUUUGAAGUGUUAUGGUUUGAAUAAUUUGAAUUUGGGAAUUAUAUUUGAUUUUGAAAAGUGAUUUGAAAUUGUGUGAUUUAAGAUUUAAUUGGGUGACAAGAACUCGAGCAAUAUGGCAUACGCCAAUUAUUCAAAUGCUUGAGAAAUAGUGAAGCGUACGCUUCCUAUCUCCUUUUCAUCCCAAGUUUGUGCUUAAAAGAGAAAAUUCUUUUGAAAUUGAAUGGUUUGAAAAGUGGUUUGAAUUUGUGUUUAUGAAAUGAAUUUUAUUUAAUGUAUUGUUCAUCUACUCGAUUAAUCAAUAACCGAAUAGGUUUCAUUGUAAGAAAGCCCAAGAGUAAGCUAUGUGAGGUUGAUGGUGAUGCUAAGAGCAAUCGACUUACAAGGGUGUUUUAAAAAUGGGCUCGAUGUUAAAUCGAGAAUUGUAUGAUUUGUGCUUUUUGAAAUUGGUUUGUGUUGUUGAUGAAAUGAUAUUGAAUAAAAUUGAAAAUGAUUUAUGAAGUGAUGAUGACAUGAAAUAGUUUUUUGUUGAAAUAAUGUGAAGUUGUGAGAGUGGGAGAAAUUAAUCAAUUUCUUUUUUUGACAAAAAAUCAACUUAUGAAAAAUUUGAUUAAAUCAAUUAAUUAAAUUAAUUAAGUUUAAUUAUCAAAAUUAUUCAAUUAGAUCAAAUAAUUAAGUUAAUUAGAAUUGAUUAAUUGAAAUUAAACUAAUUUAAUUAAAUCAAAAGAGAUAAUUAUUCAAUUAGAUCAAAUAAUUAAGUUAAUUAGAAUUGAUUAAUUGAAAUUAAACUAAUUUAAUUAAAUCAAAAGAGAAAGAAAAUGGACAUUAAUAUUGAUUUGGUCAGUAUGUGUGGGAAAUAUGCUCGGAACCGGUUUGAGAAUAAGGACAAUAUGAUUGAUGUCGUACGCAAAUUCAAAACUCGGUGAAAGUGUUCCAUUGAUAUAUUGAGGAUUUGGCGGCCUAGCGACAUGAACUUGUCGAAUCCGCAUAAAAAUCCGAUUUACGCGACAAAUGUAAACAGUAUCAACUUUAAUAUUUACAAGUUUAUUUAUAAUAAUCCAAUGUAAACAGCACAAUUCAAACUAGAACCCCAGCAUCAAGGGUGUGAAUCGUUCGGAUUCAAUUUAAUCACAUACCACAGAGCAAAGUAUUUACAAACACUCUUAAAUUUUUAGACCAAAAUGAUAGCCAUUGAAAUGGCUCAAACGUCCUUGACAACUUUACUAAAAAGCUAUUGUGUCUGCACAUUACACCAAAACUUAAAAUAGCAGGAACAAUUGGUCCAAAUAUUACACCAUAGCUUAAUAACCAAUCUAUCUUAAUGCUACACCAGAACUUAAUUCGAAACAUCACAGGAAAAAGAUUGCAUCUAAACCAAAACCAAGUAAAGUACCAACAAGGACUAUCAGUAAUCAUGGAUAUUUACUCUGAAAAUGUGAUACAUACAAAGUUCAUUAACAACAACCACAAUGUGACUCUUUAGGACUAUCAGUAAUCAUGGAUAUUUACUCUGAAAAUGUGAUACAUACAAAGUUCAUUAACAACAACCACAAUGUGACUCUUUGGACAUAAGUUAAUCUCGACAAUGGCAGGGAAGGGAACAAUCCACAACAUCAUCAGACUUAAACCCGCCACACAAAAACAAACACUAGCAUAAUGUAAUUGUUACGGGAGAACGGUCAUAUAUACAUGAAAUGUUCGAUGCUUAUGCUCUGUUUGCAAUACCUGUAUAGGAUACCAAAGAUGCAGCGACAAUACGACUUAACCGACAAGGUGUUCCCGUCUUAAAACGCAAACUCGAUUUGAACUUAGCAGCAACUCGACUUGUUCACUAGUGUCCAGAGUUUCGACAAGGUUAUGAUGCACCCUCGAACCGACGUCGUCGGCAGCCGUGACGAUCUUGCUACUCAAUGGAUGAUGGAUUCAACACCAUAACAAACAGAACCACCUGCAGCAACAACAUCUACAAAUAGAAUCAGAUGAAUUUUAGAAAUGUUGGAUCAACGUUUGCAGAGCAAAUGUCAGUUAGUGGUUUUGAGUGAGAGUAGCUGGAGUGGGUGACGGAGAAGGCGACGGUGCGGUUAUUAGGUUUCGUGGUGGCUUUGCACGGCGAUUUGGGGUUGAUGAAGGU